GUCCUUUCUUCAACAGCACAUAUACUAAAAUUGGAACGACACAGAGAUUAGCAUGGCCCCUGUGCAAGGACGGGGGAAAUUCUUGAAAUAUUCCGUAUUUUU
Molecule: small nuclear RNA, 102 nt
Organism: Nannospalax galili (Upper Galilee mountains blind mole rat)
Lineage: Eukaryota; Metazoa; Chordata; Mammalia; Rodentia; Spalacidae
Source: Ensembl